UGGGAUCAUUCUGGGAUGCAGCGAGGCCC
This 29-nucleotide non-coding RNA is filed under the name Homo sapiens (human). Lineage: Eukaryota; Metazoa; Chordata; Mammalia; Primates; Hominidae. The record is from RNAcentral.